CAAGCACUGUAUCCAUUUUAAUUCCCCAAACAGUCAGAUCCAAAAUUCAUUUACCAGUGAACACAGCUGUGUUUUGAUUCCUCUUGAUUGCCCUGCUAUGCUCAGUAAGGUAAUUGUUGGAGCAUUCUUGGUGUGAGUGGAGUUUCAUUUGCCAUGCAUGCUUUUCCUUUCAGUGGAUAUAUUAACCUAUGUCACAUGGAAGCUGAGUGGGCUGCCAAAAAACCGUGUGAUUGGAAGUGGCUGCAAUCUGGACACAGCCAGAUUCCGUUAUCUGAUGUCUGAGAAACUUGGGAUCCAUCCAAGCAGCUGCCAUGGCUGGAUCUUGGGAGAGCACGGUGAUUCCAGUGUGGCUGUUUGGAGCGGAAUGAACGUGGCAGGGGUUUGCCUCCAGGAGCUGAAUCCUGCCAUGGGAACUGACAACGAUCCUGAGAACUGGAAGGAGAUCCACAAA
Cyanistes caeruleus (blue tit) is the source of this 451-nucleotide non-coding RNA. Lineage: Eukaryota; Metazoa; Chordata; Aves; Passeriformes; Paridae. The record is from RefSeq and is a predicted model, not a curated record.